UAUUUAAAAUUUUAUUCAUUUCUAUUGUUAAAAAUUGAUGUGGUAGAUAGAACAAUCAAACAAUUACAUGUGACAAGUCACGUGUACCUCAUGUUGACGUACAAGGACCAGUUCUUAACAUUUUAAAUGGAUGAGAUUUAUAACA
Molecule: non-coding RNA, 145 nt
Organism: Gossypium hirsutum (cotton)
Lineage: Eukaryota; Viridiplantae; Streptophyta; Magnoliopsida; Malvales; Malvaceae
Source: Rfam